UGGGGAAUAUUGGACAAUGGGCGCAAGCCUGAUCCAGCAAUGCCGCGUGUGUGAAGAAGGCCUUCGGGUUGUAAAGCACUUUUAUCAGGAGCGAAACGCUGUCGGCUAAUACCCGGCGGAACUGACGGUACCUGAGGAAUAAGCACCGGCUAACUUCGUGCCAGCAGCCGCGGUAAUACGAAGGGUGCAAGCGUUAAUCGGAAUUACUGGGCGUAAAGCGUGCGUAGGCGGUUUCUUAAGUCUGCUGUGAAAUCCCCGGGCUCAACCUGGGAAUGGCAGUGGAUACUGGGAGGCUAGAGUGUGUCAGAGGGUGGUGGAAUUCCCGGUGUAGCGGUGAAAUGCGUAGAGAUCGGGAGGAACAUCAGUGGCGAAGGCGGCCACCUGGGACAACACUGACGCUGAGGCACGAAAGCGUGGGGAGCAAACAGGAUUAGAUACCCUGGUAGUCCACGCCCUAAACGAUGCGACUGGAUGUUGGUCUCAACUCGGAGAUCAGUGUCGAAGCUAACGCGUUAAGUUCGCCGCCUGGGGAGUACGGUCGCAAGAUUGAAAACUCAAAGGAAUUGAC
This 568-nucleotide ribosomal RNA is filed under the name uncultured bacterium. RNAcentral describes it as "partial 16S ribosomal RNA". It matches the Rfam family "Bacterial small subunit ribosomal RNA", at positions 355 to 914 of the family's 1533-position model. The record is from RNAcentral.